Molecule: long non-coding RNA, 900 nt
Filed under: Canis lupus dingo (dingo)
Lineage: Eukaryota; Metazoa; Chordata; Mammalia; Carnivora; Canidae
Description: lncRNA (ENSCAFG00020019597.1)
Source: RNAcentral
AUGACACAGUUGAUCGAAAAUGACACAGACACAGAAAAAUCAGGACUCGGCCCCCUCCAGUGCCUCUACCUGCUGCCCACAGCUGGAGUGCAGAUGUGCAAAGUAAGGAGCAAAAGGGGAAAAGACUUGGUUGUGGUGUGUGGCUGCCGGGAGCUUCCUCAUCCUUUAUGAGCUGGAUCUGUAAAGGAGACUGUCAGGCAGGUAAGACCUGCACCGUGCCACUUUACAGAAGGCCAGCUAGGGGUCCCCAGUGGAUGUGAAUGAGAGCCUCCCGGUGCUGUCCUGUGCCGGGGCCCCCAGACACACCGCAGCCCCCAGGGAGGGGCGCACAGACCACCCGCGUGAAGCAGCAGUAAUUCCCCGCGGCUUCAGGGUCCGCUUCACCAGGCGGGUAAUUCAGGAGCAAGUCAGCAAACACUUAGGGAGACAUUCCAUAGAAAUACAUGUACCUCGUAGGGUAUACUGUAAUCGGUAGCUAAAUCCUGGAUCGUUGCCAAAGAAAAGCAAAAUAUGCUGGCAUCGUGUGAAACCAUGUGAUGGGCUUUGUUUUUAUGAGCAGAUUCCCCCAUUUAUAAGUCUUUGAUAAAUCCUCCCCCUCCCCUUCCCCAAAUGGGAUCUGAACUUGUUGAGAGUCAGGGUUAUUAUUAUCAUCAUCAUUAUUAUUAUUAUUAUUAUUAUUAUUAUUAUUAUUGAAGGUGAAAUGGGACAAGGGUUUCUCCGUGCCCUGUGCUGUCCCAGAGCUUGUCGGGCUCCAGGCGGCACCAGCUAAGCCACCUUGGACCUGCAGCAGGUUCCGCAGAGCCACGUGCGCAGGGCGCGGGGUCCAGCAGCUGCCCUCCCGGGGAGAAGGCUCUGCAGACUCCGCUGGGCUCCGGGGCAGGGGGCGCUUCUAGACUGACA